GGAAGGAUCAUUGAAUCAAUCAAAACCACACCGUGAACUAUUUGUCGUCUCCGACGGGUCCCUUGACCGGGCACCUGUCGGGCGUCGGUGCCCUCUCCCUCGCGGAGAGCUCCGCCGGCGGGCGUCGCGUCCGGCUUCACGGCCGGCCGCGGGGUCGACAUGCUCCAACCCAACAAACACCCAAGCAAUCAUUCUGAAUCAGUAUGCCGCCGACUUGUUCGACGUGCAACCUAACAAAUGACAACUCUCAACAACGGAUAUCUUGGCUCCCGCAUCGAUGAAGAACGCAGCGAAAUGCGAUACGUAGUGUGAAUUGCAGAAUUCCGUGAAUCAUCGAAUCUUUGAACGCAUAUUGCGCUCGAGACCUCGGUCAAGAGCAUGUCUGGCUCAGCGUCGGCUCACCCCCUCGCCACCCACUCCCCCGUUUCGAUGGGAGAGCCGGGAGGGCGGAUCUGGCCGUCUCUGUGCUCCUCGAGAGCGCAGGGUCGGCUGAAGAACAGAGGCUUGAGCAUGGUCCCGCUGAAAGGGCGCCAGCUUGGUAGGGUAGCUCACGCUCCAUGCCGCUGUCGCCCCUAGGUACCUGUGCUGCAAAGCCGGCAGGAAUCGGUGGUCAAACACCGAACUCUUACUUUCGACCUGAGCUCAGGCAAGACUACCCGCUGAACUUAAGCAUAUCAAUAAGCGGAGGAAAAGAAACUAACCAGGAUUCCCCUAGUAACGGCGAGUGAACCGGGAAAAGCCCAACUUGAAAAUCUCCAGCCUUCGGCUGGCGAAUUGUAGUCUAUAGAGGCGUCUUCUGUGGCUAGCCGGUCUCAAGUGCCUUGGAAAGGGACGUCAGAGAGGGUGAGAACCCCGUCGGACCGGUGCAGCUCACUUCACGAAGCGCUUUCGCAGAGUCGGGUUGUUUGGGAAUGCAGCCCUAAGCAGGUGGUAAAUCCCAUCUAAGGCUAAAUACUGGCGGGAGACCGAUAGCGAACAAGUACCGUGAGGGAAAGAUGAAAAGAACUUUGAAAAGAGAGUUAAACAGUACUUGAAAUUGUUGAGAGGGAAGAGAUUGGAAGCUGCGGGUGCGCCCAGGCUUAUGCACGCCUCACGGCUUGCUGUAUGUUCUGGGUGCUGGUCAGCAUCGAUUCGUUGGCCGGUACAAAAGCGCCGGUUGAUACGGCGCCAAUGCCGGCUCGCGGAUCGAGGCCUCAAGCGUGCCCUUUGGGUCCUUCGGGAACUGCACGCUCAGGAUGCUGGCGGAAGGCUUCCAAUCUACCCGUCUUGAAACACGGACCAAGGAGUCUAACAUGUAUGCGAGUUGGUGGGUGAUAAACCCAUGAAGCGCAAGUAACCUGACUGGUGGGAGGGCCUGUGCCUGCACCAUCGACCGACCAUGAUCUUCUGUGAAAGGUUUGAGUACGAGCAUACCUGUUGGGACCCGAAAGAUGGUGAACUAUGCCUGAGCAGGGCGAAGCCAGAGGAAACUCUGGUGGAGGCUCGUAGAUGUGCUGACGUGCAAAUCGCUUUUCGGACUUGGGUAUAGGGGCGAAAGACUAAUCGAACCAUACUAGUAGCUGGUUCCCUC
This 1570-nucleotide unclassified non-coding RNA is filed under the name uncultured fungus. Its description in RNAcentral is "sequence contains 18S rRNA gene, ITS1, 5.8S rRNA gene, ITS2, 28S rRNA gene". The stretch from base 633 to 1570 matches the Rfam family "Eukaryotic large subunit ribosomal RNA", at positions 1 to 961 of the family's 3401-position model. Lineage: Eukaryota; Fungi. The record is from RNAcentral.